Molecule: ribosomal RNA, 489 nt
Filed under: uncultured bacterium
Lineage: Bacteria
Description: bacterial SSU rRNA
Rfam family: Bacterial small subunit ribosomal RNA
Source: RNAcentral
GAUGAACGCUGGCGGCGUGCUUAACACAUGCAAGUCGAACGAAGCACUUUACUUGAUUUCUUCGGAAUGAUUGUUCUGUGACUGAGUGGCGGACGGGUGAGUAACGCGUGGGUAACCUGCCUCAUACAGGGGGAUAACAGUUGGAAACGACUGCUAAUACCGCAUAAGCGCACAGUACUGCAUGGUACAGUGUGAAAAACUCCGGUGGUAUGAGAUGGACCCGCGUCUGAUUAGCUAGUUGGUGGGGUAACGGCCUACCAAGUCGACGAUCCAUAGCCGGACUGAGAGGUUNAACGGCCAACAUUGGGAACUGAGAAACGGUCCAGACUCCUACGGGAGGCAGCAGUGGGGAAUAUUGGGCAAUGGGCGAAAGCCUGACCCAGCGACGCCGCGUGCGGGAAAGAAGGUCUUCGGAUUGUAAACCGCUUUUAUGAGGGACGAUAAUGACGGUAACCUCAUGAAUAAGCACGGCUAACUACGUGCCAGCAG